This 1348-nucleotide long non-coding RNA is filed under the name Bemisia tabaci. RNAcentral describes it as "lncRNA ENSASIAIIG003496". Lineage: Eukaryota; Metazoa; Arthropoda; Insecta; Hemiptera; Aleyrodidae. The record is from RNAcentral.
CGGGAUACCCAGAACAGGAAAAUUCUGACAGGAAAUAACUUUAUGCCCACGUUAUCUUGCAGACUGCGACGAGUGCCUAAAGAGCACUGAAAAAAAUAUGAAGGUAGAUUUUACCAUCUCUGACAUAGUGAUACGAAUAUGGUAAUAAACACCAGACUCUAUGGUGGCAUUUACCAUACUAUGAUAAGAAUCACCAGAGUUCUGGUGAAUACUACUAGAAUUCUGGUUAUUUCCACUAAAUAGUAUCACUGUGUAAAAAAUCAAGUAGACUCAUAGUAAAUGUUACCAUACUUUUUUUCAGUGAGCUAUACAGCGAGUCAUGUAAUUCCGCCUGUGUCUGUCGGAGGACGAAAUUUGGCGAAGCUGAAGGAUGGGUGUCACGUUAACACGGUGGCGAUCGCAACUAAACUGCAUCGUGCUCAGGUGGUCGAUCCUGAACCUCCUGUCAUCCAUGUCGGCCGAGCUUACUUUCGAUAAAGACGAGAACGCCACGCUGGUUCCGUACCCACUCACGACGCAGAAAAUUGUCACCGUCCUGCCCGAGGUGGUAAAGACUACCACUGAUGGGGGCUUCAACGAGGGAGCAGAUGUCAAAAACGGCACCGUGAAGCUCAAGAGGUUGUCACAGAAGCGCCUCGAUGAAGAGAUCCAAACUCGCGUUGCCGAUGGGAAAGGUGGAAAAAACCCGAGGAAGAACCUGAAGAUCAUGCGAACAAAUUCGACGCUACCAACCCUGCAGCGUUUGACGGCGGCGACGGUAGCGCGGCGGCGCGGACACAAGAAGAAACAUUCGCAGAGGGGCAAUUUGGUCAACUUCGUGCAGACGACCAAAGAACUCACUCUCUCCGGCGAGAAUGAGUCUGAGUCACGGAGCUACAACUACGACCCUACUUACCCCGUCUACAACUACCAGGCUCCAACCGAGUCUGGUGAGGACAUCAUGUCUAACUUUGGCAUGGUCAAGGACAUGUGGGGUGGUUAUCCUGAAAGUGAUUUCCAGAGUCCGACAUUUCCAUCAUUGACGACAACUUACGCUCCGAAAAUGGUGCACAGCUCAUCGCCUCCUAUCCCAGAUUACUCGUUUCCGGAUUGGAAACCACCUUUUCUGAAUCCGCCGCGAUUCCGAAGACCUAUGGGUCUAGAGGAGCCUCCUGUUUAUGUGGACUACGUUGACGACACUCGAGUUAUAAAUCUUGAUGGUCUAGGCCGGUAUUGGCCCCCCGGGCACCCGCCAAUCCUCAUCCGGACGGGCUAUCAUAGGUACCAAGACGAAGAUUCGAUCGAGUACCACCAGUUCCGGGACCACGAGGAGCAUCACGGAGGUUGGAUCUCUCAAAACUGGCCAUGA